Molecule: ribosomal RNA, 492 nt
Filed under: uncultured bacterium
Lineage: Bacteria
Description: partial 16S ribosomal RNA
Rfam family: Bacterial small subunit ribosomal RNA
Source: RNAcentral
AGUGAACGCUGGCGGUAGGCCUAACACAUGCAAGUCGAACGGCAGCACAGUAAGAGCUUGCUCUUACGGGUGGCGAGUGGCGGACGGGUGAGGAAUACAUCGGAAUUUACUUUUUCGUGGGGGAUAACGUAGGGAAACAUACGCUAAUACCGCAUACGACCUACGGGUGAAAGCAGGGGAUCUUCGGACCUUGCGCGAGGGAAUGAGGCGAUGUCGGAUUAGCUAGUUGGCGGGGUAAAGGCCCACCAAGGCGACGAUCCGUAGCUGGUCUGAGAGGAUGAUCAGCCACACUGGAACUGAGACACGGUCCAGACUCCUACGGGAGGCAGCAGUGGGGAAUAUUGGACAAUGGGCGCAAGCCUGAUCCAGCCAUGCCGCGUGGGUGAAGAAGGCCUUCGGGUUGUAAAGCCCUUUUGUUGGGGAAGAAAGGCAGCAGGUUAAUACCCCGCUGUUCUGACGGUACCCAAAGAAUAAGCACCGGCUAACUUCGUG